Long non-coding RNA from Etheostoma spectabile (orangethroat darter), 730 nucleotides. RefSeq lists it as uncharacterized. Lineage: Eukaryota; Metazoa; Chordata; Actinopteri; Perciformes; Percidae. The transcript has 3 exons. The record is from RefSeq and is a predicted model, not a curated record.
CGCCGACGCCGUACUAGGGGAACAGGAGGAGGAGGAGGAGGAGGAGGAGGAGGAGAGAGGAGGAAGAGGGGCUCCUUCAGACAGACCCAGAGAACCAAAAGUGGCAGAUUGAGACGAUGUCGGCCCGGCGCCUCGCCAAUUCUCUGCCCCGCACCGGACGCAGACUUCACCCCCGUGGCCUCAGACAACACCAAAGCUCUCCUGAGCUGGAGGUGUACACAUAGCACGGCAGGCCCAGGAUGGCGACAUCCUUGCAGAGGCUCCCAAAGGAGAUGGAGGGAGGUUUGCUCCUCAACACGCUGACCUUCAUGUCCUGCGUGGCCUUUAUCCAGAAUGGAGCCUACGUAGACCAUGUGCAUCUUCAAAAUCUUUGCCACCAAAUGGGCCUUGCCGCAGGCCAGACUGCAGCAGCUGCUGAUCCCGGGGAAACUCACCCUGGACAAAGUGAAGAAUGAGGAUUUGGAGGCUGCGUCAGACUGUCCCCUACAAGUUGCAGAAUCAAGCUGCCCUCAUCCCGUCCCUGCCACCGCCACCCACCAAAUUGGAGGACUUUGGCCAGCCCCAGGAAGAGCGGUCUGUUGGAAGAAGAUAUGGGUCUGUUGGAGGCGUUGGAUCUGUCGGUGAAAGUGGAAGAGAAGGGUCUGUCAGACGAAAGUGAAGGAUCUUAUGGUUUGCCAGCUUACCAAGUGCAGGCUAAAGAAACUGUUCAACUGAAAAAAGAUGCACGUUU